AGUGAACGCUGGCGGUAGGCCUAACACAUGCAAGUCGAACGGCAGCACAGUAAGAGCUUGCUCUUACGGGUGGCGAGUGGCGGACGGGUGAGGAAUACAUCGGAAUCUACUUUUUCUUGGGGGAUAACGUAGGGAAACUUACGCUAAUACCUCAUACGACCUACGGGUGAAAGCAGGGGAUCUUCGGACCUUGCGCGAUUGAAUGAGCCGAUGUCGGAUUAGCUAGUUGGCUGGGUAAAGGCCCACCAAGGCGACGAUCCGUAGCUGGUCUGAGAGGAUGAUCAGCCACACUGGAACUGAGACACGGUCCAGACUCCUACGGGAGGCAGCAGUGGGGAAUAUUGGACAAUGGGCGCAAGCCUGAUCCAGCCAUACCGCGUGGGUGAAGAAGGCCUUCGGGUUGUAAAGCCCUUUUGUUGGGAAAGAAAAGCAGCAGGUUAAUACCCCGCUGUUCUGACGGUACCCAAAGAAUAAGCACCGGCUAACUUCGUG
RNAcentral lists this ribosomal RNA (492 nucleotides) under uncultured bacterium. RNAcentral's name for it is "partial 16S ribosomal RNA". It matches the Rfam family "Bacterial small subunit ribosomal RNA", at positions 29 to 507 of the family's 1533-position model. The record is from RNAcentral.